Molecule: long non-coding RNA, 1649 nt
Filed under: Homo sapiens (human)
Lineage: Eukaryota; Metazoa; Chordata; Mammalia; Primates; Hominidae
Description: HSALNT0343770
Source: RNAcentral
UUUUUCCCUUCUAACCACCCGCGCUCUCACACUUUGCCUCCGCUCCGCCGUUUCCAUGGCUCCGGUUUCCUACUUUCCUCUUGUCUCCUCCGUCCUCAGCCUGUUCUGUAAUGUGGGAUUUACUAGAAGAGCAGGGCUGGUGUUCGAGGAGGAGAAGUUGAAAUCCUAGAGGGAGGAAGGCGGGGAAGCCAAUACUACUUGCUAUUUCCACUGCAAUGAACGUCUCUGUGUCAUCAAAAUAAGAACUUCAACCCCAAGGUUGAAACAGCCAAGCAGAAUUUGAUGGAAAUAUAUUUAGGAACAGCUAAAUUAGCAGUGCGACGCGUGUUUUCUUUUCAUUGAAGAAUUCAGCCAGUUAAAACGAGUCUAAAUGGAAGUCUGAAAGCUUUUUCUUCAUUGUUGAGGAAUAAAAUAUUUCGUGUAUUUUUCGUUUUCCAGAUUCAUUCAUUUAACAAAUAUCAGUUGAGCACUUUCCAUGCCGUAGGGCCUGUACAAGGCACAUAGCAUUCUAGACAUCUGAAGCAUCAAAACUAAUCAUUUUUAUUUUGAAGAAAAUCACUCAAAAUAUUUUAUGUACUUUGUGCCUUUCAUGAACAGAAUAUUCCAAGCAUUCUCUGCAAAAUACGCAUGAAAACAAUUGGGAGAGAAGAGGUCAAUUAUCUUUGAGAAGCCCAAUUACAGAAUGAAAUUCAAUUCAUUAUUAAAAAUACAUGGAUCUAAUAAAGAAUAAAUAAUUGGAAAAGAAAAGUUUAAGGAAGAGAGAAACGGGAAUGAGAAACAAUUACUGUGGGCUCCCAAUGGCCUGGAGUGAAUCACCAAAGUAACCUAAACAUGAAGUCAUGAAAAACUAAGUGGAUUCUGCCUUUUAGUACUUCCCAUCAUGGGGGAAGUCACCAGCGACCUCCUUACUGUAUUUUGGAUGAUUCAAGAAAUAGAAAGGUGUCCUACUGACUUCUGAAACAGGGUGUCUUCAUAUUGAUUAGGGUCACCGUAAGCCUGGGAGCUGAUGCUUACUCUCAGGCCAUUCUAAAGUCCUACAGUAUCCAGAUGAGAAACGAGAGAAAGCAUAAGCUUUGGAGUCCAAAGAUCAGGAUUUUAGCGUCAGCACUCCACACCUUAGCUAUACAAUCUCAAAGCAGCCUGCACCUGUGGCCUCAUGGCGCAUUCUCUACAAUCAGUUGACAGAGGAAGAGAAGACUCAGGCCUGGUUUACAGAUGAUUUUGCAUUCUACGCAGAUCUUAUCACAAUGAAUAAUUUGGUUCUCUCAUCGACUACACGAGGACAGUCAUACUAUCUGCGAUGUGAAGCUAAUAUGCAAAAUUCACGGCACAGUGCCCACCCUAAUAACCAUCAGGAUCCAAGGAAUUCACAUACAGUGUACACACGUUGUCAUAGAAACAAUCUAAACAUAAAAACAAUCUCAACAGAAUGCUUAAAAACAAAAAAACCCGGUACCGAUUAUUUUACGGAGUCAUAGAGGCAUCAACGGCACUGAAAAUGUAUUAGCUGCAUUCAGUUCAUCAAGAACAAUCUUCAACUCCCUCCACCUGACUCGAUCAUGCCUGACUGUGAUGGAAACUGUAGUAUUGUCAAGUCAACCGAUGUUUGACUCGGGAGCGCAUUUCGCAAAUAUUUUUCUUAAAUAUCA